GUGUGGUGCCCCGCCUGGGCGCUCAGGUGGAGCCCUGAGGCCUCUGAGCACCGGGAAGAGCCUGCCCCAUGACGUGAACUGUGAUUUGGGUAAUCAGCCAUAAUUACAGUUAAUGAUAGCAGUGUCUGGGCACCCCUGCCAGAGUCAGGACCCCAUUGUGCUUGGCAUUGUGCAAACAUUUAGCAGGUAAAUUAGACACUGCAGUCAAAGCACCUUCAAAUGCCUGGCGAUCUGACAGCAGCGCCUUAAAGGAGUGUGGAGAUAAAGCUACCUGGCCUGCUCCAGCAGUCUGAAGGGAACUCCAGAGAUGGAGUGCAACCUUUUCAUUUCUGUGGCUCACGUGAGCUCAUCUGGGAACAGUGCUAAGAGAAAAAAAAGGAGACAAAGAACACAGCAUGGGACCAGAAUGGUAGUUGAGUACUACUUAACAGCCAAAUUCACAGCACACUGUACUCUACUACAAGAAUUGUCUUUAGUGGGUUUUGGAUCAGGCCUUUGGAACACAGGCCUGAAGCAGAGUCUGUCAGCCCAUUAAAAGUGAAAAAAAAGGACCAUGAAUCAAUCCUCCCCAUAUCUGCUCCAGAUUCUGAAUCAAAACCAUCCCUCGGUUCAUGUGAUUGCCAGAGAAAAGGGAAAAAAGGAGAAAAAAAAGUCCUUCUGUGUCUGUGGAAAGAUUUCUCAUCUGCAAUAUCUCAAACUUCUUGGGAAUUACCUGGAGUGUACCUUGAAGAAGUGCAUUUCUUUACUAAGAUUUACAGUAAGUGCAGUUUAUGUCUGCCAGCCUCCAGCACUAUGCCCACACUGUGCCAGAGCUGGGAUUGCAGCACGUGAGAUGUACUGAAACCAGCUUUCAUCUAGCACUCACAUGAGCCAGGAAGAUACCGUGGUUUAAGCUCUCGCUCCUUCCUUCCAAAACACAUAUGGAGCUCCUUCCAUAGCCUGCACAGCUGCAGAUUCCCUGCCAUACUCUGGAAGCUGGCUAGAACAUGGCCACGCUGCCGUCACAUCUCCGAUUACUGAACAGUCUGCAAUGCCUUGGCAGUGCUAUGGAUGAAGCCUGUUUACCUAAGACAGAAUCUUGGCCUGCCACUGCAUAUCCACCAUUACUGCUCCACAUCUUGGUGGAGUCACUCCUGGGUUACAUAAAUAUAAUUGAAAUCAGAAUCAGA
Passer domesticus (house sparrow) is the source of this 1169-nucleotide long non-coding RNA. RefSeq lists it as uncharacterized. The transcript is spliced from 3 exons. NCBI's taxonomy places the organism in Eukaryota, Metazoa, Chordata, Aves, Passeriformes, Passeridae. The record is from RefSeq and is a predicted model, not a curated record.